ACGACUACACCAAUAGCUCUUACC
This 24-nucleotide non-coding RNA is filed under the name Arabidopsis thaliana (thale cress). The record is from RNAcentral. Lineage: Eukaryota; Viridiplantae; Streptophyta; Magnoliopsida; Brassicales; Brassicaceae.